GGGGGUGUAGCUCAGUGGCAGAGCGCUUGCCUGGCAUGUGUAAGACCCUGAGUUCCAUCCCCA
This 63-nucleotide transfer RNA is filed under the name Ictidomys tridecemlineatus (thirteen-lined ground squirrel). Its description in RNAcentral is "Spermophilus tridecemlineatus (thirteen-lined ground squirrel) tRNA". It matches the Rfam family "tRNA". Rfam says of the family: Transfer RNA (tRNA) molecules are approximately 80 nucleotides in length. Their secondary structure includes four short double-helical elements and three loops (D, anti-codon, and T loops). Lineage: Eukaryota; Metazoa; Chordata; Mammalia; Rodentia; Sciuridae. RNAcentral also lists the same sequence under 1 other name. The record is from Rfam by way of RNAcentral.